Long non-coding RNA from Myotis daubentonii (Daubenton's bat), 281 nucleotides. RefSeq lists it as uncharacterized. The record is from RefSeq and is a predicted model, not a curated record. Lineage: Eukaryota; Metazoa; Chordata; Mammalia; Chiroptera; Vespertilionidae.
AAGAGCCGAACGUUCGCAAAGGCUUUCGAGGCGCUGGAGGAGAGGGUGUCAUGGGCCUCAGCCGGGGCCGCCCCAGGCGGGUAGGUGUAGGCGGCUUCUGGGUCAAGACUGUCCCAGGUGGGUAGGUGCAGGUGGCUUCUGGGUCAAGAUCUGCAUCGGUGACCUUGGGGCUGUCUGCUCCGAUGGCAGCCUUGCCAAGGGUGGUCCUGGGCGGGUAGGUGUAGGCAGCUUCUGGGUCAAGGUCUGCAUUGGUGGCAGUGGGGGCGGCGUUUGGGAGGGCA